GCGGCGGGCAGGGCGGACGGGCGCGGGCCGCGCGUGGCGGCGGCGAUGGGCGAAGGCGGGCUGCCCCCGGCCUUUCAGCUGCUGCUGCGCGCGUGUGACCAGGGCGACACGGAGACCGCGCGGCGGCUGCUGGAACCGGGGGCGGCGGAGCCAGCCGAGCGCGGCGCGGAGCCGGAGGCGGGGGCGGAGCCAGCGGGGGCCGAGGCGGCCGGGUCCGGGGCCUCAACAGCGGUUACGGUCGGCGCUCCGGUGCCUGUGGACUGCUCGGACGAGGCGGGCAACACCGCGCUGCAGUUCGCGGCGGCCGGGGGCCACGAAACGCUGGUGCGCUUCCUGCUGCGCCGCGGCGCCUCGGUCAACAGCCGUAACCACUACGGCUGGAGCGCGCUCAUGCAGGCGGCCAGAUUUGGGCAUGUGAGUGUGGCACACCUCCUGUUGGAUCAUGGGGCUGAUGUCAAUGCCCAGAACCGGCUGGGGGCCAGUGUGCUCACUGUGGCCUCUCGAGGUGGCCACCUGGGUGUGGUGAAGCUGCUCCUGGAAGCUGGUGCCUUUGUGGACCAUCACCACCCCUCGGGCGAGCAGCCGGGGUUGGGCAGCAGCAGGGAUGAGCCCCUGGACAUCACAGCCCUGAUGGCCGCCAUCCAGCAUGGGCAUGAGGCUGUGGUGCGUCUACUGAUGGAGUGGGGCGCAGAUCCCAACCGCACAGCCCGGACCGUGAACUGGAGCCCGCUGAUGCUGGCUGCACUCACUGGGCGACUUGGAGUGGCCCAGCAGCUGGUGGAGAAGGGCGCCAACCCUGACCACCUCAGCGUGCUGGAGAAGACUGCCUUCGAGGUUGCACUGGACUGCAAGCACAGGGACCUUGUAGACUACCUGGACCCGCUGACCACCGUCAGACCCAAAACAGAUGAGGAGAAAAGGCGACCUGAUAUUUUCCAUGCAUUGAAAAUGGGAAACUUCCAGCUGGUCAAAGAGAUUGCCGAUGAAGACCCCAGCCACGUGAACUUGGUCAAUGGGGACGGGGCGACCCCAUUGAUGCUAGCGGCUGUUACAGGGCAGCUGGCACUGGUGCAGCUACUGGUGGAGAGGCAUGCGGAUGUUGACAAGCAGGACAGCGUGCAUGGCUGGACGGCCCUCAUGCAGGCCACCUACCAUGGGAAUAAGGAAAUUGUCAAAUAUCUGCUAAACCAAGGGGCUGAUGUCACUCUUCGUGCGAAAAAUGGAUACACAGCCUUUGACCUGGUGAUGCUGCUGAAUGAUCCCGACACGGAACUUGUUCGACUGCUGGCAUCUGUCUGCAUGCAGGUGAAUAAAGACAAAGGCCGGCCGAGCCACCAGCCACCCCUGCCCCACUCGAAGGUCCGACAGCCCUGGAGCAUCCCAGUGCUGCCUGAUGACAAGGGUGGGCUGAAGUCCUGGUGGAACCGAAUGUCCAAUCGGUUCCGAAAGCUCAAACUGAUGCAGACGCUUCCCCGUGGGCUAUCCAGCAACCAGCCUUUGCCUUUCUGUGACGAGUCUGAGCCAGCUCUGGACUCCACAAUGAGGGCCGCCCCCCAGGACAAGACAAGCCACUCUGCACUCCCUGAUGCAGCUCCUGUGACCAAAGACAAUGGUCCUGGGAGCACAAGAGGAGAAAAGGAAGACGCAUUAUUGACAAUCAUGCUUCGAAACGGAGCUCCCCUCACCAGACUCCCGAGUGACAAGCUGAAAGCUGUCAUCCCGCCGUUCCUUCCCCCUUCCAGUUUUGAACUGUGGAGCUCUGAUCGGUCCCGGACGCGUCACAAUGGGAAGGCAGACCCCACGAAGACUGUGCUGCCCCAGAGAGCCAGCAGGGGCCACCCCAUGGGCAGUGUGAGCACAGAUACCACACCUGUCAGGCCUGUUAAAUUUCCAAGCCUCUCCAGAAGUCCAGCCUCUCCCACCAAUUCUGGAAACUUCAACCACUCGCCUCAUUCAUCUGGAGGCUCCAGUGGGGUAGGAAGUAUGAGCCGACACGCUGGGGAACUGCUUAACCGCUCUGGUGGCAGUAUAGACAACGUCUUGUCCCAGAUCGCUGCCCAGAGGAAGAAAGCAGCUGGAUUAUCGGAGCAGAAACCCAGCCAUCGGUCAGCCCCUGUGGGGCCAGCACUGGGGUCCAGCCUGUCUGAGCUUCCAGCCUCCCCUGCAGGUGGCAGCAUUCCCGUUGGCAAGCAGAAAUUGGAGACCAGCAAAAGGCCUCCGUCUGGAACUUCCACUACCUCCAAGAGUACCUCCCCAACCCUCACGCCCUCCCCUUCACCCAAAGGGCACACUGCAGAGUCCUCAGUGUCUUCCUCCUCGUCCCAUCGGCAGUCCAGGAGCAGUGGGGGCUCCAGCAGUGGCACCAUCACAGAUGAGGAUGAACUGACUGGAAUCCUUAAGAAAUUAUCCCUUGAGAAAUAUCAGCCCAUUUUUGAGGAACAGGAGUCUGUCUCUGUCUCGUGCGUGGUGGGGGAAAUGAGGUGGACAUGGAAGCAUUCCUCACGCUGACUGACGGCGACUUGAAGGAGCUGGGAAUUAAGACAGAUGGGUCCAGACAGCAGAUUCUGGCAGCGAUUUCUGAACUGAACGCAGGCAAGGGACGCGAGAGACAGAUUUUACAGGAAACCAUUCACAACUUCCAUUCUUCCUUUGAGAGCAGCGCCAGCAACACCAGGGCGCCUGGCAACAGCCCCUGUGCGUGAUCCUCCUUCCCACAGCCACCAGCGUGAGCUCUCUGAAUCCCGGGACCCCUUCGCAUGUCUAGGGCCCCAGCCCCACCUCCAUCACACUGCUGUGCCUUAGUCACAUUAUUUCCGUUUGCUCGAAAUGCCCCACUUCAUGUCCACUGCAUUCGUUGGUAGUACUUGUUACUGUAACAAACUUCAUACAGAGACAUUCCCAUGUGACAUUCCAGUGGGGGUGCUUCUGGUUGGCAGGUGGGUUCACACAGUGAUGCGGGGACUCAGCUCCUUUCAUCCUGUGCUCUACCCUCCCCAGGAGCCUCAGAGUUUGCUUCUGGCUGGCAGCAAGGGAAACGGACGAUGGAGAAGGCACAGCUGCCUCUUACCUGCCUUGCUCUUAACUGGCACACAUCACUCCUGCUUAGGUCCUCUUGGCUGCUGGUAGUCAUGUGGCCCCACCUGGAUGCAGAGGAGGCUGGGAUGUGCAGUCUCCAUAGAGUGGCUUCCCAGCAACAACUUUUGACUUAGAUGGGGGGUGUGUAUUAUGGUGGGGGAUGCCCCCCUGCCACAUCUUCCCUUAAAACUUCUAACUUGUCCCUCCUGGUCCAAGUCACCUCUCAGAUGAAGUCUUUUUUUUUGACCCCCUUUCAACCCCUGGGUGCCUUCCUGCUGUGUAUGUGACUGUUCUAGCAUUCCACUGCACCUGCUGCAUCCAGCUUACAGCGCGUGUUCUAGAUGCGUAUGCCAAAUGCAUUUUUCUUUAUUCCAAUCUAUUUUAGAGGGAGAGAAGAGGAGGCCUGCUGUGUGGAUCUCUUCUCCCUAGCUUUCAGUUUCCUUAUCUGCAAGGUGAAAGAUCAGACCAGAUGAUGCUCUGCUUCUCCACAGUGCUCACCCGUAUCACUGCAGGGUUUUCUGCACCGAAAGUGGAAGCAGAAGACUAAUGGCUCACAUUGUGAAAGAGUCUCUGGUGCUCAAAGGUUCUAACAGGCAAAGAAGUGACAAAUUUGGAAUUUUGUCUAGAUCCUGUUAAUGCUGUGUUCCUCAAAAGGGAAUUGGCUUGUGUUGUUGCCUACCAUAUUAUAUCAUAUUAUAUUAGAGGGGGCCUGACUUUUAAAACCCAGUGGCUUUUGAAGUGAUUUCCAAUGAAUCACUCAUUCAGCCAGUGCUUAUUGCCUUCAUGUUAGAUACCAGGCACCGAGUGUGCAGACACAAUCCAGAGCCUUCAGGCUCUCGACAGGCAAGAUAAUACCUGUAAACAGACAGUCACAGCCUUGAGAGGCAGCUUGGGGGAGUGGACAGACCGUGCCCUGGACUCAGGUUCAAAGUUCACAUGCAGCUCUAUGGCCUCUUAGUCGGAGCUUGGAACCAGUGUGCGUGAAGUGCUGGGUCUGCAGGAAGUAGCCAGUAGAUGGUAGGCUUCACAGAACUCUAGUCCCUACCCCGCGCUGCGUGAGCCACAUGUUGGUCUCCUUGGGUGGUACCGUCUCUCAUCUGUACCUCCCCCAGCCAUGAAAGCCCACGCCCCUAUGCCGGCUUUCAGAGGCAGUCGUUACCCUACUGCCCAGAGCCUCGUAGUUUUCUUCCCCUGCCCUGAUAGUGGGUAUUUUUCCUCUAAAUCCUCUCGGCCUUCCACCCACAGAAGCCAGCUUUCCACAGGACUGAAGACAAAGUAUUUCAUUUAUCUGUUACUGACAGACACAUUUACAAAGGUUUCUCAUGUCCCAGCCUUUUUAAGGAGACACACUCAUUCAUCACCUACUAUGUGCUGGCAGCUUUACCUUUGUCAUUUCAUCCUCAUGGCCACCCUGGAGGUGGCAUUGUGUAACUUCAUCUUGCACAUGCAGGAAAUGGAUGCUCAGGAGAGGGGAGCUGCAGAUCCGGUCUCAGAACCAGACCUGGUGGGCUUGCAAGUCUGUGCCUUUUCCACUAACUCCUAUAGACUCCUAGAGCUAGAAGCACUUAUGAUUCUUGUUUUAGUUUACUGAUGGCUUCAGGGAUUAACAGUAGACCUAGAAUUGUUUGCCUCUGAAAUUCUUGGCCCCUGACAUUAUGUGCUUUGAGGUUUUGUGCCUGCUUUCUGCUAUGGCCCUGUUUCUUUGAUAACUGUAUACUGGUAUAGCUUACACUCAGGUAAGUUUGCUUAAACACCAAUGAUAAACAGGAGCUAUGCCAGGGGUUCAGCUUCCCACAGAUAUAGACCUCCAUGAAUGCACUGGAUGACCCUGGACAGAGCGAGGCUAUUCCCAUUUUGCAGACAGGACAACAGAGGCUCCAGACAAUGCCUCUUUUUUCUUUUUCACUGGACUCAAGUGUCCAAGGCUUUUUCCCCUAGGCACUUUGUGUACUGGUUCACAAACGGUCCCUGGCACCCUUUCUGGGCAGGUUUGGAUGUGGCUGGUAGGCAGGGAAGAGAAAGGGCACUUCAGCAGGGUCAUGUGCAGAGGCAGCACGUAAUGUGUAACUUAUAGAUCGUCAAGGAGGAGGGGUCAGUCGGGUGCUUGUUUUUCUGAUUUUUGGUCCUUGGUCACCCCCUUCCCAGCCCACAUGUGUCCCCAGCCUGCCUCCAGGAGGCUGUUCUCCCCACGAGAAGUACCUCCCUUGCUUGGUGACCUUCACCAGCAUUUCCCAAAAGUGUGCUUCUUGGAACCCUAGUUCCACAGGAAGUUAAUAGGUUUUUCAUGAAGAAAAGUAGGAGGGGUGUGUAUGUGAAAGUUGGGUGAGGUUCCCUGGUGGAGUAAUUUGGCAGACACUGAGCUAAAGCGAGCUACGUGAUCAUCUUUGCUGCAGGCCUCGUAUAACCUUCAGUAUGCCAGCACGCCUCAGGCCUCUUCACAGGGCCAGGAAGCUUGUAGCGUCUCCCACAUUACUCUGAUCACUUCUCCAAGGUGCUUUUGCUAGACUGAAAUUCCUUGGACACCACUGGGGAAGCCCUGCUUUGGUGGGAACAGUGGCAGCCAUGAGGCCUCGCAGCCCUGGUAGUGGGUCAGGGCCGUUGGUGGCCACCUUUUUUCUCCCCAGCAGCUCUCUGCAGAGGUGGCCUACCUGGCAGUGGGACAUCAGGGGAUGGGGCCUGCUUUAGAUGGCAGGGCCCCUGUUCCGAGAGCGCUCCAUCCUGAGGCUCUCCUGUGGGGUGGAGGGCAUUGUUUCCCAGCACCCACGAGUGUCUUGCUGCUGUGUCCUAGGUGCUGGUGGUCCAUGUUCCCGCUGGCCAAGGAGGGCUCCUACCUCUCUACUUCAGCACCACAAAAUUCUAUGGAGGCCAGCUGGUUUGUGAGGAGAAAGUUUACUUUUUAAUUCUUUUGUUUACUGAACGUUUACUUAGCAUCUACUCUGUGCCAGCUCCACUCUUGUACUCUGCCUCCAAAGAUGAAAAAGGACUUCUCUGCCCUCAAGGGAACCCCGCAGUGCCUUAGAGGAGACAAGCACAUCAGUGAGAUGGUGCGGUGAUGAAGUGUGCUGGGUACGCCGCUCAGGGAAAGUCACCAGUGAUGGCUCAGGCUCAUCCUGGGCAGGCCUCAGCGCAGAGAGCUGGAGUGAGACCUCGAAGGUCAGGUUUAGGCAGGAAACAGAAAGGGCAUCCCAGCUGGGGCAUGUGCAAAGGCAACAUGUAAUGUGUAAGUUAUAGAUCAUCAGGAAGGAGGGGUCAGUUUGGUGCCUGUUUUUCUGACUUUUGGUCCUUUGAAAUGAGUAGAAGCAACCUGUUACCUUGGAAAGAGCACUGGGCCUAGAGUCAGAGGUAGUGCUGCAUGACAUUGAACAUGUUUCUUCUUCCCUCUGAGUCUCAGUUUCCCUUUUGGUUACAAGGUGCUAGAAGCCCCCAGGGAUCAGGUGAAAGUGAGAAAGCCCUUUUCACACUGUGAAGUGGUGCAGAUGUGAGAAACCUCACAGAUGGUUGCACAUUUUAAAUCCUCUCUCUUACCUCUCAUCUCUCUCCCUUCUGCCUGGACAUAGCCAUGGCUGGGUGGGUGAGACCAGAAGAAACUGCGUCUGGCAAGAGGUAGCAGCUGCUGCAGUGGCUCUGCUGGCAUCAGAGCCCAUGGAAAUGAGGGGUGGCCGACGGAUCUGCCCUCCAAAUGUGCCUGACCCUGGGUCUUGGUGUCAUUGGGAUUCUCAGCACAGCGGACAGAAAGAAAGACAGUUUGGCCAAGUCAUAGAAGCUGAUCCAUUCGGCAAAAAGAGGGCAAGGAACCCGUCUCUUUUCUGCUUACCUAGGAGCUGCCUGAAGACAUCAUCACACAGGCCAGGUGAGAGGCUAGACAACUUUGGACAUCUACACUACCUGUGCUUCCAAGUAAAUGCCUCCUGAAAGGCCCGGGACCCUUCCUCAGAGGACUCUGCAGCGAGAAUGAAGGUGCCGUCAGCAGAAGGCGCUGUGAAGCACCAUCCUGUCACUCUCCUUGUCCAUUCCUAGCAAGUUAAUUGUGUCUUGUUAACCAGCAGUUCCUGUCCAACAUGUAAAAAGACCUGAUGUUUUCCCUAAAAAAGCUGAUGCCAGAUUCUGCAGGACUGGCCUGCAGAGGGAAUCUCCGUGGGUGAGGUGGGUCCUCUGGCCUCAGGGGGCUCUGCUCCUCCUUAACAUACAGCCUAAGAGUGGAUUUAUACCCGGCCUUAAUUUCAGCCCCCCAGCUGAGAAGCCAGACCCAAAAAUAUAGUUGUUGCUAAAGCUUGGGAA
Molecule: RNA transcript, 7353 nt
Organism: Sapajus apella (tufted capuchin)
Lineage: Eukaryota; Metazoa; Chordata; Mammalia; Primates; Cebidae
Gene: ANKS6
Gene name: ankyrin repeat and sterile alpha motif domain containing 6
Exons: 16
Source: RefSeq, a predicted model, not a curated record